CCUACGGGCGGCAGCAGUGAGGAAUAUUGGUCAAUGGGCGAGAGCCUGAACCAGCCAAGUCGCGUGAGGGAGUACUGCCCUAUGGGUUGUAAACCUCUUUUGUCGGGGAGCAAAAGCCGGACGUUUCCGGCUGUGAGAGUACCCGAAGAAAAAGCAUCUGCUAACUCCGUGCCAGCAGCCGCGGGAAUAGGGAGGAUGCGAGCGUUUUCCGGAUUUAUUGGGGUUAAAGGGUGCGCAGGCGGAUUGUUAAGUCAGCGGUCAAAUCGUGGGGGGCAACCCCAUCCAGCCGUUGAAACUGGGGAUCUAGAGUGUGCGAGAGGUAUGCGGAAUGCGUGGUGUAGCGGUGAAAUGCAUAGAUAUCACGCAGAACCCCGAUUGCGAAGGCAGCAUACCGGUGCACAACUGACGCUCAGGCACGAAAGCGUGGGUAUCGAACAGGAUUAGAUACCCCAGUAGUC
Molecule: ribosomal RNA, 458 nt
Filed under: uncultured bacterium
Lineage: Bacteria
Description: partial 16S ribosomal RNA
Rfam family: Bacterial small subunit ribosomal RNA
Source: RNAcentral